This 514-nucleotide ribosomal RNA is filed under the name uncultured bacterium. RNAcentral's name for it is "bacterial SSU rRNA". It matches the Rfam family "Bacterial small subunit ribosomal RNA", at positions 1 to 507 of the family's 1533-position model. The record is from RNAcentral.
ACAAGUCACACGAGUUUGAUCCUGGCUCAGAUUGAACGCUGGCGGGCAUGCCUUACACAUGCAAGUCCGAACGGCAGCGGACCUUACGGGUGCCGGCGAGUGGCGAACGGGUGAGUAAUAUAUCGGAACGUACCCAGUCGUGGGGGAUAACGCAGCGAAAGUUGUGCUAAUACCGCAUACGACCUGAGGGUGAAAGCGGGGGACCGUAAGGCCUCGCGCGAUUGGAGCGGCCGAUGUCUGAUUAGCUAGUUGGUGGGGUAAAGGCCCACCAAGGCGACGAUCAGUAGCGGGUCUGAGAGGAUGAUCCGCCACACUGGGACUGAGACACGGCCCAGACUCCUACGGGAGGCAGCAGUGGGAAUUUUGGACAAUGGGGGCAACCCUGAUCCAGCCAUGCCGCGUGCGGGAAGAAGGCCUUCGGGUUGUAAACCGCCUUCGGACGGAAAGAAAUCGCAUGGGUUAAUACCCUGUGUGGAUGACGGUACCGUAAGAAGAAGCACCGGCUAACUACGUG